RNAcentral lists this long non-coding RNA (1142 nucleotides) under Phascolarctos cinereus (koala). RNAcentral's name for it is "lncRNA (ENSPCIG00000032308.1)". Lineage: Eukaryota; Metazoa; Chordata; Mammalia; Diprotodontia; Phascolarctidae. The record is from RNAcentral.
CAAAGCUCAUUCCAUGUGUCAUUUCGUCUGAUGCUGAGAACAACUCCAUGAAAGCUCUUAGUAUCUUCAUUUUACGACUGGGGAAAAUAGAGAGUAGGUGAGUUUCCCUGGGUUACAUGGCUAGUAAUUUCUGAGGCAGGAGGAUUCCAAGUCCGGGCUCUGUCUCCUAGCUGCCUCCAAGAACAGCAAUGAUAACCUAAAAAUUAAACUUUGCAUUUGAAGUGCCCUGAAUUGUAGAGAGUGGCAGUCAGGUUAUCCCUGCUUCUCCCAAAUAAAACUAAAAAUUCACUUUAUAAAGGAUUGAUCCUUUCUUCUCCUGACAAUUACUCAAUACCUAGGUUUAUUUUAAAAUGUUUUCUUUUACUACAGAAAAGAAAAAACAAGCAAUUACUGUAAAGAACACACUUCAACAAUUGACUGUACCACAAAAUGGGCUGAUCCGGUCCAUUCCAUCUGUUCUUUCUGGUGGAGGGAUUCAUAAGCAGGAGAAUGACCAAGAGCCUAGAGGAAGAAGAAAUAAACUCCACAUCACAUAAUGAGUACCCAAGGAACCAAGAAUCGACAUCAAUGAAGUAAUGAGUCUUCAGGUAGUGACCAAAGUGAAGGCAGAAGAGGAAGGAAGAAGGAAGAAUUGCCUUGAUAGGGGCAGUCUUCCUGACUGAGAAAGAAUUUGGGAUAAAUGUCAAUACUGGUCGUGACCUCCAGGGACUGCCUCUAUGCAUAGGAGCUAUAGGAAGGAAAUCUCUGUAAAUUGGUAGAUUAACUCCUGCUCCUGCCAUGACGGUGGGGAUCCAUUUUCCACUCUAUUCUGGAAGAGAGAAAAAGGAAUCUAGGGAGAAUGUGUGGGGAUUUAAACCCUUUCUGUCCUGUUUCCCAUUUUAUCAGGGGUUCCCUAAGCUCUUCCCGUUCCCUUUCCCUGGAAUGAACCUGUGUUGAUUCUGCAUGAAAUGGCUGUUCUACAGGAGUACUAUCCAUGGUUUUGGGUAGCUCCACCUGUUUCCUUUUGCUGGGUGGGAGGUAAGAAGAGGUCCUCAUGUUUCAGACUUUGCUGUGCAAGACAAAGAUAAAGAGACAUAGGCUUCGAUAAUGUAUCAAUUACCUAUGAUAAUAAAAGUACACUUUUAGUCUUGAAUUCCCUUUUU